Long non-coding RNA from Pezoporus flaviventris, 991 nucleotides. RefSeq lists it as uncharacterized. The transcript is spliced from 4 exons. The record is from RefSeq and is a predicted model, not a curated record. Lineage: Eukaryota; Metazoa; Chordata; Aves; Psittaciformes; Psittacidae.
UGCUCCUUUUUGCAGUGAGCACAGUGGUGUCUCCAUAGAGAUCGUCAUGUCCAGAAUCAUCAACUUGCCAGCUUGCACUGUUUUCCUGUGAAAGCUGAUGCCCAGGCUAGGCUUCUGCCAUUUAUACCUGUGUUUCACAGUUGAGGAUAUAAAAUAAGAUCUGGCCUUUUCUUGUCCUGUGGACACAUUUGCCUCCUAAUUCUUAAGGUGCCAGUGUUUAGUAUUUGUUGCCCAGCAAGGAGCUCACGUAGGCUGCGUCUGUAUUGCAGGGAAGCAGUGCCUUUGAGAAAUCCCUGAGGUGGCUGGAGGCUGCACAAAGUUGUGCUGCUGUGUUGAGGGGCUGGCCUAGGCUUUGGGUGCAGGAUGACUGCAUGGACAGGCAAAACAUGUCACACAGCUGCUGCUGUCUCCCCUGUUUUUGUGGGGCUUUGGUCUACCUGGCUGCUAAGUGGGAGUGUAAUCCUCCAGACAUUUCAAAAGAGGGAGGAGAAAUACCACUAAUCUUGGAACACUGCAGUUAAGACUCUGGAGCAAGAACAGUAUCCACUUCCUAGCUUCGCCAUGGCAAGAAUGACCUCGGAGACCUCCUGAGACCUCUUGUCCACAUUUCACUGUUUAAGGGACCAGUGUGCAUGUGACCCUGUAACAUUGUAAACCGCCGCUGAAGUGUGUCCCUUAUAACUGGUGUUUGAAGAUGGGAACAGUCUACGACCCUUCAGAAGAAUUUUAGCUCCAUCCUCCUGAAUGUGGCUCUGAAGGAUCUCAGAAAAGUGACCGCUGCCAGAAGGCAGGAGACAUUGGCCUGUGCUAGAUCCCAGCCUACCUUCUCCAGUCCUAUGGAGAGCAGAGGCUGCUCUGGUUCUGCAUUCCCAGCAGCAUCUCCCAGUCACAGCGGCUGGAUAAAGGACAGCAGCCCCAGGUUUUGCUUCGAGAACUUAAUCUGCACUGUCGUCCCUCAUUACUGCCACUCAGCGCCGUUGUGUCCAGCCAU